AUGGCGCCUCCAACUACGUCGCGCCGGCCGGCCACCGGAGUUGUUGCCGGCUGCCGCCCCACCGCUCCUUUCUGUGCCAUCCCGUCUUCCUCAACUGCCAGGAGCGCUGCCAUCGCCUCCCACCGCGCCCUCCUGCUGCUGCCUCAUUCCUCUGCCGCCAUCAAGCUCUGGCCAGUAGGUCAACUCCGGCGCCCCCUGCCUCGCGUCGUCCCACCUCCUCUGUCGCGCCAUUCCUCAAGCUCUCCGGUUGCCUCCUCCGCGAGCUGCCCGUCCAGGAGCGCCACGCCGGCUGCCCCAACCUUGCUCCUCUGCUUCCCGGAUCACGCUGCCGCCUUACCGCCGUCGAGCUGCGCCACAACACUAUGUUCCUCUACCCCGACCUUGCCUCCGGCCAUGACAGCCGAGGGCCACCUCGCGCCCGCGCCUCUUCCUCGCUCCAUUAGGUCGCAAGCAUGCCGCCACUGCCCUCCUGCUUCGCCUUCUCGCCGAAGAUCGGGUCACUGCGUCUUCUUCACCUCCUGCCCGAGUCCCUACAACAGCCCUGGUAGCUGUCGUCCCCUGCCGGCGGUCUCCAAUGUCCCAGUGCACCUCCGCGUGCUGCUACCGUUGACGCCAAGUCGGACGACUAACGAAUGA
Molecule: ribosomal RNA, 636 nt
Filed under: Triticum aestivum (bread wheat)
Lineage: Eukaryota; Viridiplantae; Streptophyta; Magnoliopsida; Poales; Poaceae
Description: partial small subunit ribosomal RNA
Source: RNAcentral